GGGGGGGGCGGAGCUGUUGGCUGAGGUUGGAGCUGUUGGCUGCUUGUUGAAGUUUUCGAUAAUCAUGGAUUUAUCGGUGGUGACCGUGUUACCUAGCCUCAGUGCAGUGGGCAGCUGGGAGGAGGUGCUCUUGUUCUCCAUGGACUUCACAGUGUCCCAGAACUUUUUGGAGUUGGAGCUACAGGAUGCAAACUUCUGCCUGAAGAAGCUGGCCUUAGCUUUCCUGACUGACUGCAUGUAUUGGUUCCUGACUUCCCUGAACAGUUGCAUAUCGCGGGGACUAUUCGAUGCUAUUGCAGUCCGCCACUUUAAACAAUGCCACUUAAUAUAAAGUUUACAUACUCUACAUUACUCAUCUCAUAUGUAUAUACUGUACUCUAUACCAUCUACUGCAUCUUGCCAUCUUUAUGUAAUACAUGUAUCACUAGCCACUUUAAACUAUGCCACUUUUAUGUUUACAUACCCUACAUUACUCAUCUCAUAUGUAUAUACUGUACUCGAUACCAUCUACUGCAUCUUGCCUAUGCCGUUCUGUACCAUCACUCAUUCAUAUAUCUUUAUGUACAUAUUCUUCAUCCCUUUACACUUGUUUGUAUAAGGUAGUACUUUUGGAAUUGUUAGGUUAGAUUACUCGUUGGUUACUACUGCAUUGUCGGAACUAGAAGCACAAGCAUUUCGCUACACUAGCGUUAACAUCUGCUAACCAUGUGUAUGUGACAAAUAAAAUUUGAUUUGAUUUGAAACCAUCAAGAAAUCUCACAUGUCAAAUGCCAAUGGUGGGUCUCGACCAUGUCUUGUGAUGAACACAGAUCACAAACUGCACUUUUUUUUUUGCUGAUUGACCACCUGUACAGUAUUAUCUCUGCACAGGGACUGGUUUAUGGACUUCAUGGCAAAACGAGUCUGGACUUCAGUAUAAACAUGUUUUAUGUUUUUGUAGUUUGAGUAUAAUGCCCAGAAAGGGGCAAAGUUUGAGGUUACUUAGUGCAAUUGUAAUCAAUUAUGAUACAGAAAAAUUGUUAUAUACCAUGCAUUGGGAAAGUAUUCAGACCCCUUCACUUUCUCCAAAAUGUGUUACGUUACAGCCUUAUUCUAAAAUGGAUUACAUUAAACAUUUUCCUCAUCAUUCUACACACAAUACCCCAUAAUGACAAAGUAAAAAAACUGUUUUGGAAAUUUUUGCACAUUUAUUCAAAAUAAAAAGCAGACACCUUAUUUACAUAAGUAUUCAGACCCUUUGCUAUGAGACACAAAAUUGAGCUCAUGUGCAUCCUGUUUCCAUUGAUCAUCCUUUAGGUUUCUACAACUUGAUUGGAGUCCACCUGUGAUAUUCAAUUGAUUUGGAGAUGAUUUGGAAAGGCACACACCUGUCUAUAUAAGGUUCCACAGUUGACAGUGCAUGUCAGAGUAAAAUUGUGUCGGAUUGUGUCGAGGCAAAGAUCUGGGGAAGGGUAUCAAACAAUUUCUGCAGCAAUGAUGGUCCCCAAUAACCUCCAUCAUUCUUAAAUGGUAGAAGUUUAGAACCACCAAGACUCUUCCUAGAGCUGGCUACCCGGCCAAACUGAGCAAUCGGGGGAGAAGGGCCUUGGUCAGGGAGGUGACCAAGAACCCGAUGGUCACUCUGACAGAGCUCCAGAGUUCCUCUGUUGAGAUGGGAGUACCUUCCAGAAGGACAACCAUCUCUGCAGCACUGUACCAAUCAGGCCUUUAUAUGGUAGAGUGGCAACACGCAAGCCACUCCCCAGUAAACAGCACAUGACAGUCCACUUGGAGUUUGCCAAAAGGCACAUAAAGGACUCUCCGACCAUGAGAAACAAGAUUCUCUGGUCUGAUGAAACAAAGAUUGGACUCUUUGGCCUGACUGCCAAGCGUCACUUCUGGAGGAAACCUGGCACCAUCCCUACGGUGAAGCAUGGUGGUGGUAGCAUCAUGCUGUAAAAUGUCUUUCAGUGGCAGGGACUCUGAGACUAGUCCAGAUCGAUGGAAAGAUUAAUGGAGCAAAGUAUAGAGUGAUCCUUGAUGAAAACCUGCUCCAGUGCGCUAAGGACCUCAGACUGGGGCGAUGGGUUCACCUUCCAACAGAACAACGACCCUAAGAACACAGCCAAGACAGCGUAGGAGUGGCUUCUGGACAAGUCUCUGAAUGUCCUUGAGUGGCCCAGACAGAGCCACAAUCAAACAUCUUUGGAGAGAUAUGAAAAUAGCUGUGCAGUGACGGUCCCCAUCCAACCUGACAGAGCUUGAAAGGAUCUACAGAGAAGAAUGGGAGAAACUCCCCAAAUACAGGUGUGCCAAGCUUGUAGCACCAUACACAAGAAGACUUGAGGCUGUAAUCACUGCCAAAGGUGCUUCAACAAAGUACUGAGUAAAGGGUCUGAAUACUUAUGUAAAUGUGAUAUUGUAAAUGUAAAUGUGAUAUUGUAAAUACUUAUGUAAAUGUGAUAUUGUAAAUGUAAAUGUGAUAUUGUAAAUACUUAUGUAAAUGUGAUAUUUCAUUUUUUUAUUUGCAAACCUUUCUAAAAAC
Oncorhynchus tshawytscha (Chinook salmon) is the source of this 2524-nucleotide long non-coding RNA. The record is from Ensembl. NCBI's taxonomy places the organism in Eukaryota, Metazoa, Chordata, Actinopteri, Salmoniformes, Salmonidae.